Molecule: long non-coding RNA, 234 nt
Filed under: Gossypium raimondii (Peruvian cotton)
Lineage: Eukaryota; Viridiplantae; Streptophyta; Magnoliopsida; Malvales; Malvaceae
Description: long non-coding RNA (GRAI_LNC000802)
Source: RNAcentral
GGUUGGGGGGUUGCUUUUUUUUUUUACUUUAGUUUUAUUUUUUUGUUGUGAACUUAUGAAUACUAUUAAUGGUUUGAUGACCUUACUUUGGUGCACUUUGCUUAUCCAUGUCUUACUUAGAUAUAAUUAUCGUAUUUUAAUUAAUAAUACAAACACUAGGCAAAUAAUUGAUGGUUGAUUUUCAUAAUUAUGCUCUAACUUAAGCAUGUUGGAUUGAGGAUGGUGUUAAGGGAG